RNAcentral lists this ribosomal RNA (324 nucleotides) under uncultured eukaryote. RNAcentral describes it as "partial 18S ribosomal RNA". It matches the Rfam family "Eukaryotic small subunit ribosomal RNA", at positions 1470 to 1796 of the family's 1831-position model. The record is from RNAcentral.
CCCUUAGAUGUUCUGGGCCGCACGCGCGCUACAAUGGUCUUCGCAAACGGAUGCAUUCUCGAAGGAGAAUGCCAAUCUUGGAAUCUAUGCCUUGGUCGGGACAGUUGCUUGCAAUUUUUCGACUCGAACCAGGAAUUCCUUGUAAUCGUGAUUCAUCACAUCACGAUGAAUACGUCCCUGCCCUUUGUACACACCGCCCGUCGCUCCUACCGAUUGAAUGUUCCGAUGAAUACCAUGGACUGAGAGUAUGAAUGGGUUCGCCUAUUUCUGCUUCUCGGGAAGUGGAGUAAAUCUUAACAUUUAGAGGAAGGAGAAGUCGUAACA